Molecule: ribosomal RNA, 365 nt
Filed under: uncultured bacterium
Lineage: Bacteria
Description: bacterial SSU rRNA
Rfam family: Bacterial small subunit ribosomal RNA
Source: RNAcentral
AACGAACGCUGGCGGCAGGCCUAACACAUGCAAGUCGAGCGGACGUAGCAAUACGUCAGCGGCGCACGGGUGAGUAACGCGUGGGAACCUGGCCUUUGGUUCGGAACAACCCUGGGAAACUAGGGCUAAUACCGGAUAAGCCCCGUAAGGGGGAAAGAUUUAUCGCCGAAGGAGGGGCCCGCGUCCGAUUAGCUAGUUGGUGGGGUAAUGGCCUACCAAGGCUUCGAUCGGUAGCCGGUCUGAGAGGACGAUCGGCCACACUGGGACUGAGACACGGCCCAGACUCCUACGGGAGGCAGCAGUGGGGAAUAUUGGACAAUGGGGGAAACCCUGAUUCAGCCAUGCCGCGUGGGUGAUGAAGGCCU